RNAcentral lists this transfer RNA (62 nucleotides) under bacterium. RNAcentral's name for it is "tRNA-Gly". It matches the Rfam family "tRNA". Rfam says of the family: Transfer RNA (tRNA) molecules are approximately 80 nucleotides in length. Their secondary structure includes four short double-helical elements and three loops (D, anti-codon, and T loops). Further hydrogen bonds mediate the characteristic L-shaped molecular structure. tRNAs have two regions of fundamental functional importance: the anti-codon, which is responsible for specific mRNA codon recognition, and the 3' end, to which the tRNAs corresponding amino acid is attached (by aminoacyl-tRNA synthetases). tRNAs cope with the degeneracy of the genetic code in two manners: having more than one tRNA (with a specific anti-codon) for a particular amino acid; and 'wobble' base-pairing, i.e. permitting non-standard base-pairing at the 3rd anti-codon position. The record is from RNAcentral.
GCGGGGUGGUAGUACACCAGCUUCCCAAGCAGGGGGCACCAGUUCGAUUCUGGUAUCCCGCA